GACGUAGGGCGCGAGCGUUGUCCGGAUUUAUUGGGCGUAAAGAGCUCGUAGGCGGCUUGUUGCGUCAGCUGUGAAAACCCGCAGCUCAACUGUGGGCUUGCAGCUGAUACGGGCAGACUUGAGUUCGGUAGGGGAGACUGGAAUUCCUGGUGUAGCGGUGAAAUGCGCAGAUAUCAGGAGGAACACCGGUGGCGAAGGCGGGUCUCUGGGCCGAUACUGACGCUGAGGAGCGAAAGCGUGGGGAGCGAACAGG
This 253-nucleotide ribosomal RNA is filed under the name uncultured bacterium. RNAcentral's name for it is "partial 16S ribosomal RNA". It matches the Rfam family "Bacterial small subunit ribosomal RNA", at positions 524 to 776 of the family's 1533-position model. The record is from RNAcentral.